CCUUACGUCAGUCCAUGCAUGGACUUCUAUCACUGACGUUUUUGAUCUACAUGCUUGUAGUCAUAAACAAGAACAGGUCCAUCAGUAAGUUCAAGCAUGAACUUAAAGUUAGUAUCCUAUCGUUAUCAGAAGUUCAAGUAUGCACUCAGAUCUUCCGAUUGAUAUGAUUCUCAAGCUUGGGAAUUAAUCAAUCACUGUUACAACAACCGAGACGGCUAAACGCCAAAUGAUGUUUAUUUUAUUGUAUGUAUAUCAUGUAGUAUGUAUCUUAGUUUAUUAUAUCUUAAUAAAUAUAUAUUCUAUGUUUUGUUGUGUAUAAAGGGUUAUUUAUAUAGGUUCACUAAAUAAUUGUUUUAUACACACAAAACUAUUUUUCACGUGCACCUUAUGGUGCCUGCAUGCAGAGUGAUCAUAAGCACGUGACCUAUGCCAUAUUAAAUUGCAAUGGAGUAGUGUGGUCGAUUCUAUAUAGACUAAAACCACCUUCCCAACCGCCACCAUUGUUUCAUUAUAUUUAGAAAUUUAAUGUACUAUUAAAUUGCUGUCUCGUUAUAUAUAUCUUUUAGAUCAGCAUAUUUUCGUUAUUAUUAACUCAAUUUCCCAAAUGGAUGCAGAGUUUUGAUGUAUAAGUUGCUUGUCACAGUUUGGGACUAUAGCAGUAAUUUGGUUAAAUUUUAAAUAGACCAAACACGUGCAGAAGUUCCGGACACUAAAACAACAGAUCCCUGUUUUAAGUCAGUCCUUACGUCAGUCCAUGCUUGGACUUCUUUCACUGACGUUUUUGAUCUACAUGCUUGCAGGUCCAUCAGUAAGUUCAAGCAUGAACUUAAAGUUAGUGUCCUAGCGUAUCAGAAGUUCAAGCAUGAACUCAGAUCUUCCGAUUGAUAUGAUUCUCAAGCUUGGGAAUUAAUCAAUCAUUGUGACAACAACCGAGACGGCUACAC
Molecule: long non-coding RNA, 944 nt
Filed under: Mytilus galloprovincialis (Mediterranean mussel)
Lineage: Eukaryota; Metazoa; Mollusca; Bivalvia; Mytilida; Mytilidae
Source: RNAcentral